Molecule: non-coding RNA, 1685 nt
Organism: Heterocephalus glaber (naked mole-rat)
Lineage: Eukaryota; Metazoa; Chordata; Mammalia; Rodentia; Bathyergidae
Source: RefSeq, a predicted model, not a curated record
AUCCGGGUGGGUGGCUUAAAGGUCCAAGAAAGCAGCCCAGGCCCUGACCCUCAGAACCUGCACUUUCCUUUAAGUGGUAAAGGAGCUUUGCAGGUGUGAUUACAUGAAAGCUCUUGAGGUAAAGAGGGUUGCUCGGAUUACCCAGGUGGGCCCAAUGAUGAGAUCACGGGGAUUCCUCUGGGGCUACGGGCAGGAGGGGUGGGAUGAGGAGCAGCCGCCACACAAGCAAUGCCAGUGAUCUCCAGAGUCUGGGAAGGACACGGGAACGACGUCUCCCUUGGAGCCCCCGGGAAGAACGCAGCCCUGGACACUGUGACUGUCAAUCUCUGACCUCAGAACCAUGGGGCUGAGCCUCCAGCCUCCAGAGGUCACCAGACAGCUCUGUGCAGCCUCAGAAGUGCAGGGAACACUGUCUCACGAGCAUCACCUUUACAGGUCUGAGCCCUGGGAUAAGCGACAAACUCCACUGCUCAUUGAAAGAUGGACACCCUGGAAACCUACCUCCAGCAGCCUUUGCCUCGAUUAAGUGAGGUACAGCUUCCUGCACCCACCAGCCCGCCCCACCGUGAGCAAGAAACAACUGUCGCUCCCACAAGUCAUGGAAGGUGCUGCUGUCACUCCCAGCUGCGCAGGAGGGUCACCGGGGAACUCGGAAACAGCCUGGGGAGCCAAACAACUCCUUGGCGUUUUUGAAGCUUCCCCCAGGGUCUGGGGAUGUGGCUCAGUGGUAAAACACUUGCCCUGGGUUCAACCCCUAGAAGGUCUAGGAACCUGUAUCUUAAAAUAAAAGGAAGCGCUUUCCUGCUUCUCUCUGCGGAUCUGAAUUGCCAUCACCACCACCACUUGCCCACGCCUGCCUCCCUCAGUCUCCGCGCCCAGCCCUGCCCCUGGGUCUCCUCAGAGGGCUUCAGGGCAGCCUUUGGGGAGCCCAGCUCUGGGGUCCUUCCUCCACUGCCUGUCCGAACCUGGCAGAAGCAGAGCAGCUGGAAUAAAAGUCCCGUGCUGUAUUCACAGACUCCAGAAGAGUGCGCGUCUGUCACAUGGCUUCGGUCUACUCUUCCUGCUUGGCCUGGGCUCUGCGCACAUGUGACCAUCCCAGAGGAAAUUCCCUAGGAUAAAGGGUUUUCUGGUGCCUGCCAUUGGCUCCAGGGUGGCUGAGAGCAACUAUAAAGAGCCUCUUGGACAAAACAGUUGUGAUCUCUCCCCAGAGUGCCUCCCAAUGGGACUGAGUCUAAGGCCUGCUUCAACUCCCCUCCUUCCUUUCUGCUUGCUGGGUGCUAUGGCUAUUGGCCGCUGCCUCAGUUUCCCCUUCUGCAAAAUGGGCCGUGAUCCAUUCCACAGUGUAGGUUGUGCCAGAGGGCAUACCGUUUCAUUACAUAAUGACUCCGGAGCAGAGCCUGUUUGCUUGGCAUCUCUCCACCUGUUGGUGCCAGGGGCAACACUGGGACUCAGCUUCGUAACCUUGCAUUUCUGCAGCAGGGUGAAAGGAAGGUGCUGGAAUGUCUCCUUUCUCUUAGGUCUGGAAAGGGGGCCUCUUGGGGCUGGGGCCUCAGGAGGGAGACAGAACAGGGCACUUGUCCUCCUGGUAAAAUGCAUGAUGGCUUUAGGUGGCUCACAGGCAAGCCAGGGUAUUGUUUUGUUUUGUUUCCUUGUGCUAUGUUUUUUGAUUUUGUUUGGAAGUGUUG